GAUUUUCUUUCUUUCUCUAGUCAUUCAUUGGAUUUUUGAUUAUUUUGAUUGGCCAAUAUUUAUGAUUGCAACUUGAUUCCUUUACUGUCCAAUAGGAUUUUUGGAAUUUGACAUUAGCCAACUCGAUUUGUGAGCGGUGACAUAAAAUUGACACAAAAUUUGUCAAAAUACCGUAUAAACAUAAUUGCCUUUUCUCCAUUGUUUCUUUUAUGUUUUCUCCCGAGUUCCCCGAGUUUAUUUUAUCCAUUAAUCCGAAAUACUUAUCAAGAUUAAAUUACAGUCACCGUCUCACGUCAUCUCUCGUGUUCCCUUGCUGCAGUCACAAGACGCACUCUCUCUGACCGCCGAACAGCGAACGGCGCACACCUGUGCAAACAGCGGCCGAGUGAGACGGAACCUCGUACGAUGCGAACCUCAUAGUGGCGGGCGGCAGCGAGCGAGUUCGUUCCUGAUGUUAUAAUUGAUGGUACAAUGAGUGAGGAGGCGCAGAAUGCGAGCCCGACUCCCGCGCCCGAGGCCGCGCCCGCGGCGCACGCCGACGCCUCCACCAACGUGUCACAGGCACAGGUCGCUCAGAUGACAGCAAGCUCUGCGCCGCCCGGCGAGAAUGGCAAGUGGAGCUGCGAGGUGUGCACGUACGAAAACUUCCCGCUCUCGCGAAAGUGUGCUCCGCAGUGCACCAUGUGCCGCGCGCCCAAGACCUGCCUCAACGAGAACAUCUUCAAGCUGCAGGACGAUGCCAGCGCGCUGCCCACGCAGGACGUCUGCGGUGCGGAGGCGGUGGCGGAGCGCCUGAAGCCGCUGCGGAUAUCGUCGCCGCAGGGCCCGGCCGCCGCCUGCUCCGUCGUCAAGUGGCCCUGUCCGACGUGCACGUACGAGAACUGGCCGAAGGCGCUGAAGUGCGCCAUGUGCGGCGCCGCCGGCCCGCCCGCGCCCGCGCCCGCGCCCGCCGCCGCCCCAGCGCCGCCCAACAACAAGCACAUAGGCAUCAACGACAUCUGCAACAGCCAGGCGGCGCCCGAGGCCGAGGGCCGCCGCUCCAAGCGCCGCAACAACAAUAUCGACUGGAUCUGGCUGCAGGCCUGCCUUGGCGUGGUGGAAGGCGACCCGCGCUGCGUGGACGCGUACCUGGCCAGCGGCGGCGACCCGGCGCGCGCGCUCACGCCGCACGAGGUCGCGCUGCUCAACCGCGCCUCCGCCUUCGACGCCGGCCACACGCUCGUGCACCUGGCCAUAAGAUUUCAAAGGCAAGACAUCUUGUCGACGUUAUUAUCCCGGAUAUCGGGCGGCGGGCCCGGCCUCAAACGUUCCCCUUCCUACAUAGCGCCGGACCUGGCGGCGGCCAUCCGGCGGCACAUGGCGGGCUGCGUGCGCCACAAGAAGGGCAGCUUCCCGUGCCGCUACAUCAACGAGCUCAGCACCUUCGCGCUGCCCGCAGAGAUCGAGGAGCUCCCGGCGGCGAUACAGGAGCAGCUGUUCUCCGAGCUGUUGGACCGCGACGCGCAGCAGACGUUGGAGGCCGAGCCGCCGCUCAUCAACUGGAGCCACGAGCUUUCCGUCACGCUGGGGUCGCGGCUGUACGCGCUGUGGAACCGCUCGGCCGGCGACUGCCUGCCCGACGCCGUGUGCCAGGCGGCCUACGGCGUGUUCGACCGCCACAACGCGCUGCGCGCCGCGCUCGCCGACUCGCUGCACCACGCGCACAGGAGCUUCUACAGCCGCUGGCAGGGCUGGGAGCGCGUGCAGGCGGCGCUGCUGCAGUACGCGCCGGACGAGGCGCAGCUGCGCGCGGAGUGGGCGCGCCUCGUGGCCGCCGCCGCGCGCCCCGGCACGCCGCUGCACCAGGUACGCAUCGUGACCCGCGCCGUGGGUCACCGCCGGCAGGGCUGGGAGCGCGUGCAGGCGGCGCUGCUGCAGUACGCGCCGGACGAGGCGCAGCUGCGCGCGGAGUGGGCGCGCCUCGUGGCCGCCGCCGCGCGCCCCGGCACGCCGCUGCACCAGGUACGCAUCGUGACCCGCGCCGUGGGUCACCGCCGGCAGGGCUGGGAGCGCGUGCAGGCGGCGCUGCUGCAGUACGCGCCGGACGAGGCGCAGCUGCGCGCGGAGUGGGCGCGCCUCGUGGCCGCCGCCGCGCGCCCCGGCACGCCGCUGCACCAGGUACGCAUCGUGACCCGCGCCGUGGGUCACCGCCGGCAGGGCUGGGAGCGCGUGCAGGCGGCGCUGCUGCAGUACGCGCCGGACGAGGCGCAGCUGCGCGCGGAGUGGGCGCGCCUCGUGGCCGCCGCCGCGCGCCCCGGCACGCCGCUGCACCAGGUACGCAUCGUGACCCGCGCCGUGGGUCACCGCCGGCAGGGCUGGGAGCGCGUGCAGGCGGCGCUGCUGCAGUACGCGCCGGACGAGGCGCAGCUGCGCGCGGAGUGGGCGCGCCUCGUGGCCGCCGCCGCGCGCCCCGGCACGCCGCUGCACCAGGUACGCAUCGUGACCCGCGCCGUGGGUCACCGCCGGCAGGGCUGGGAGCGCGUGCAGGCGGCGCUGCUGCAGUACGCGCCGGACGAGGCGCAGCUGCGCGCGGAGUGGGCGCGCCUCGUGGCCGCCGCCGCGCGCCCCGGCACGCCGCUGCACCAGUUGCACGUGUUUGUGCUGGCGCACAUAAUGCGGCGGCCGAUCAUCGUGUACGGCGUCAACGUCGUCAACUCCUUCCGCGGCGAGGCGCUCGGCUUCGCGCGCUUCCAGGGGAUCUACUUACCGCUGCUGUGGGAGCCGGAGUUCUGCUCGCGCUCGCCGCUGUGCCUGGGCUACACGCGCGGACACUUCUCCGCGCUCGUGCCGCUCGAGCCCUACUCGCAGCGGCACACAUACAUCUGCCGAGAGCAACAAGAAGAGAACGAGGAGAUGACAUUCCUGCCGCUGACGGACUCCGAGGGGAAGCUACUGCCGGUGCACUUCCUCACCUGCGAUGAGAUGGCAGACGAAGAAGGCGUGGUCCGGCGUUGGCUGUCGGCGUGCGUCACCAGCGGCGGCGUCCUGGCGGCGCGGCAACAGCUGCACGCGCGCCCGCUGCUGCAGGCCCAGCUGCUGGAGGAGUGGCUCAACCACUACCGCCGCCUCGCGUGAGUGCGGCACACAGCCCCUAGCGUCUAGUGUAGUGCGAGUGGCGUGUGUACCAGCGGCGGCAGCUGUAGCGCGCCCGCUGCUGCAGGCCCAGCUGCUGGAGGAGUGGCUCAACCACUACCGCCGCCUCGCGUGAGUGCGGCACACAGCCCCUAGCGUCUAGUGUAGUGCGAGUGGCGUGUGUACCAGCGGCGGCAGCUGUAGCGCGCCCGCUGCUGCAGGCCCAGCUGCUGGAGGAGUGGCUCAACCACUACCGCCGCCUCGCGUGAGUGCGGCACACAGCCCCUAGCGUCUAGUGUAGUGCGAGUGGCGUGUGUACCAGCGGCGGCAGCUGUAGCGCGCCCGCUGCUGCAGGCCCAGCUGCUGGAGGAGUGGCUCAACCACUACCGCCGCCUCGCGUGAGUGCGGCACACAGCCCCUAGCGUCUAGUGUAGUGCGAGUGGCGUGUGUACCAGCGGCGGCAGCUGUAGCGCGCCCGCUGCUGCAGGCCCAGCUGCUGGAGGAGUGGCUCAACCACUACCGCCGCCUCGCGUGAGUGCGGCACACAGCCCCUAGCGUCUAGUGUAGUGCGAGUGGCGUGUGUACCAGCGGCGGCAGCUGUAGCGCGCCCGCUGCUGCAGGCCCAGCUGCUGGAGGAGUGGCUCAACCACUACCGCCGCCUCGCGUGAGUGCGGCACACAGCCCCUAGCGUCUAGUGUAGUGCGAGUGGCGUGUGUACCAGCGGCGGCAGCUGUAGCGCGCCCGCUGCUGCAGGCCCAGCUGCUGGAGGAGUGGCUCAACCACUACCGCCGCCUCGCGUGAGUGCGGCACACAGCCCCUAGCGUCUAGUGUAGUGCGAGUGGCGUGUGUACCAGCGGCGGCAGCUGUAGCGCGCCCGCUGCUGCAGGCCCAGCUGCUGGAGGAGUGGCUCAACCACUACCGCCGCCUCGCGUGAGUGCGGCACACAGCCCCUAGCGUCUAGUGUAGUGCGAGUGGCGUGUGUACCAGCGGCGGCAGCUGUAGCGCGCCCGCUGCUGCAGGCCCAGCUGCUGGAGGAGUGGCUCAACCACUACCGCCGCCUCGCGUGAGUGCGGCACACAGCCCCUAGCGUCUAGUGUAGUGCGAGUGGCGUGUGUACCAGCGGCGGCAGCUGUAGCGCGCCCGCUGCUGCAGGCCCAGCUGCUGGAGGAGUGGCUCAACCACUACCGCCGCCUCGCGUGAGUGCGGCACACAGCCCCUAGCGUCUAGUGUAGUGCGAGUGGCGUGUGUACCAGCGGCGGCAGCUGUAGCGCGCCCGCUGCUGCAGGCCCAGCUGCUGGAGGAGUGGCUCAACCACUACCGCCGCCUCGCACAACAGACUCGCGGGCCGUUCCCGCCGCGGCUGCCCAACGAAUACUCCAGCGACCCCGACACCGACGACGAGUGACGCGCGACGCUCGCCAC
Molecule: RNA transcript, 4533 nt
Organism: Ostrinia furnacalis (Asian corn borer)
Lineage: Eukaryota; Metazoa; Arthropoda; Insecta; Lepidoptera; Crambidae
Gene: trbd
Gene name: ubiquitin thioesterase trabid
Exons: 19
Source: RefSeq, a predicted model, not a curated record